AUUGAACGCUGGCGGCAUGCUUUACACAUGCAAGUCGAACGGCAGCAUAGGGGGCAACCCUGGGUGGCGAGUGGCGAACGGGUGAGUAACAUAUCGGAACGUACCUUAUAGAGGGGAUAACGCCGCGAAAGCGGGGCUAAUACCGCAUAAGCUCUGAGGAGGAAAGUGGGGGAUUCGAGAGGACCUCACGCUAUAAGAUCGGCCGAUAUCUGAUUAGCUAGUUGGUGAGGUAAAGGCUCACCAAGGCGAUGAUCAGUAGCUGGUCUGAGAGGACGACCAGCCACACUGGAACUGAGACACGGUCCAGACUCCUACGGGAGGCAGCAGUGGGGAAUUUUGGACAAUGGGGGCAACCCUGAUCCAGCAAUGCCGCGUGAGUGAAGAAGGCC
RNAcentral lists this ribosomal RNA (389 nucleotides) under uncultured bacterium. Its description in RNAcentral is "bacterial SSU rRNA". It matches the Rfam family "Bacterial small subunit ribosomal RNA", at positions 29 to 416 of the family's 1533-position model. The record is from RNAcentral.